Long non-coding RNA from Oncorhynchus tshawytscha (Chinook salmon), 540 nucleotides. Lineage: Eukaryota; Metazoa; Chordata; Actinopteri; Salmoniformes; Salmonidae. The record is from Ensembl.
AGAAGAUUGUUUAUUUUUUUUGCAUGAGGAAGUCGAGAAGGAAAUGGUGACUGUGCUUGAAUCUGAAAAUGCCGCAAGUGACGUGUGAUAAUGAGUGGAAAAUAGUGUAAUCAAAGAAUGGAACAAAACGAGCAAAGAUUGUAGUGGAAGACAAGGACUGGACCAAUAAUGUAUUUCUUAUUGGACAAGGAGAUUCAAUUGGGAAAUCCAUUUGUAAUAUCGAGGACUGUGAAGGAACUAGUGGGAAAAGUGGAUUCAAUCAAGAGCAGGGCGCCUACCAAAGGAGUUAUAGCUGGAGUCUCGUUGGAUACAGAUGAUGAGUACCUUAGUCAGAAAAUCUCAGGAGUGGUCAGUGCACUUCGCUUGACCCGUAUAUGGUGAAUGGAAGGAAGGAGAAAAGCCUGUUGAUAUUAUUGUUCUUUGAGGAGACUGGAUAUGUGAGGUAUGCGGUCAGAGCAUUUGUGUCCAAACCAUUACAAUGUGGAAAUUGUAAAGGAUAUGGUCACGUAUCAAAUGUUUGCAGACAGAAGUAUGAUAUUG